This 264-nucleotide ribosomal RNA is filed under the name uncultured bacterium. RNAcentral describes it as "partial 16S ribosomal RNA". It matches the Rfam family "Bacterial small subunit ribosomal RNA", at positions 523 to 776 of the family's 1533-position model. The record is from RNAcentral.
UAACGGAGGGUGCGAAGCGUUAUCCGGAUUCGACUGGGUUUAAAGGGUGCGUAGGUGGGUUGGUAAGUCAGUGGUGAAAUCGUCCGUGCUUAACAUGGAAACUGCCCAUUGAUACUACUGGUCUUGAAUUUUCCGGAGGUGAAGCGGAAUAUGUCAUGUAGCGGUGAAAAUGCUUAGAUAUGACAUAGAACACCAAUUGCGAAGGCAGCUCGCUACACGAAUAUUGACUCUGAGGCACGGAAAAGCGUGGGGGAUCAAAACAGG